This 764-nucleotide ribosomal RNA is filed under the name Desmonostoc muscorum SULS-Q1. RNAcentral describes it as "bacterial SSU rRNA". It matches the Rfam family "Bacterial small subunit ribosomal RNA", at positions 95 to 891 of the family's 1533-position model. Lineage: Bacteria; Bacillati; Cyanobacteriota; Cyanophyceae; Nostocales; Nostocaceae. The record is from RNAcentral.
GUGGCGGACGGGUGAGUAACGCGUGAGAAUCUAGCUCUAGGUCGGGGACAACCACUGGAAACGGUGGCUAAUACCGGAUGAGCCGAAAGGUAAAAGAUUUAUUGCCUAGAGAUGAGCUCGCGUCUGAUUAGCUAGUUGGUGUGGUAAGAGCGCACCAAGGCGACGAUCAGUAGCUGGUCUGAGAGGAUGAUCAGCCACACUGGGACUGAGACACGGCCCAGACUCCUACGGGAGGCAGCAGUGGGGAAUUUUCCGCAAUGGGCGAAAGCCUGACGGAGCAAUACCGCGUGAGGGAGGAAGGCUCUUGGGUUGUAAACCUCUUUUCUCAAGGAAUAAUUCAAUGAAGGUACUUGAGGAAUAAGCAUCGGCUAACUCCGUGCCAGCAGCCGCGGUAAUACGGAGGAUGCAAGCGUUAUCCGGAAUGAUUGGGCGUAAAGGGUCCGCAGGUGGCAUUGUGUGUCUGCUGUUAAAGAGUGAGGCUCAACCUCAUAAAAGCAGUGGAAACUACAAAGCUAGAGUGCGUUCGGGGUAGCAGGAAUUCCUGGUGUAGCGGUGAAAUGCGUAGAGAUCAGGAAGAACACCGGUGGCGAAAGCGUGCUACUAGGCCGUAACUGACACUGAGGGACGAAAGCUAGGGGAGCGAAUGGGAUUAGAUACCCCAGUAGUCCUAGCCGUAAACGAUGGAUACUAGGCGUGGCUUGUAUCGACCCGAGCCGUGCCGGAGCUAACGCGUUAAGUAUCCCGCCUGGGGAGUACGCACGCAA